This 68-nucleotide transfer RNA is filed under the name Ilisha sirishai (lobejaw ilisha). Its description in RNAcentral is "tRNA-Ser". Lineage: Eukaryota; Metazoa; Chordata; Actinopteri; Clupeiformes; Pristigasteridae. The record is from RNAcentral.
GAGGGAGGCACGAAGCAAUAAAGACUGCUAAUCUUUACCUCCGUAGUUAAACUCUACGGCUCAACUCG